CCGCCGCCGCCGCCGCCCGUGGGGACGUGAAGCACCAUCUCUUGCAGGUUCACCACAGACUGGCCGAAGAAGCAGAGGGACUUCAGGUGGCUCCUCGCCGCCUCCUCGUCACUGAAGCCCGCCUGGCACUUGCGGCAGACCAACUUGUACUGCACCUUUGGAACAAUGAAGGGGUCGUAGAGGGAGUCCGCACUUUUGCUUUCUGCUUCUGGCUCUUCGGGGGGUUUCGGCAGGAGGGGGGACACCUCACGGGGUGCGUUUUUCUGCUCUUCUGGUCUGGGGGAUUCUUUGGCAGGGUCUUUGUCUGGGGAAGCAGCCCCCUGGGGGACUGGGGUUUGGCUUGCUUUGGGCUGCUGCACUUUUUGCUGCUGCUGCUGCAGCUGCCGCUGCUGCUGGAUGGCCUCCUGCAGACUCUGCUGGUAUUGCUGGUACUGCUGCAGCAGGGAGCCCGGGGACAGCCCCAUCAGGGCCUGCGACAGCGCAGGGCUGUAGGGGAACAGGCCUUCCAUGCCGUACAUAGGCUGCAGGUACCCGCUCUGCAGGGCGCCGGGGAUCUGGGGGGCGUAAUAAGGAGAGAAGCCUGGUACAAAGUAAGGGAGGAACUGGCUCGUGAGCAACGCUGUGGGGUCCGAAGUCAAGGCUGCCUGCAGGGCCUGCAGCUGCGCAGGGUCCACUGCAUACUCCAUGGCGGGCAGCGGUGCUGAGAUCGUGGCUGCGGCUGCCGUGGGGGCCUCUCCUUUCUCCUUCUUGGGGACGGGCAGGGGUUCCCCUUUCCCUUUGUGUGCCUUUUCCUUCUCCUUUCCCUUCUCACCAUCUCUGUCCUGGCGUUGCUGUUGCUGCUGCUGCGGCGGGAGCUGCGGCGCGGGUGGCGGCUGGGCUGCUGGCGGCGGCGGCGGCGGCUGCGGUUGGGGACUUGGCAGAGGGGCCGUCGCCGCGGGGGCCUGUGCUGGCGUGGGGGAGCUCAGCGACGCUGAGGGUGGUUUAUUUGGUAAUCCAGACGUGGGGAGGCCGGGGGAAGGAACUGUUGUGCUGGGCAGACCCAUCAAGUUCGGUUUAGGAGAUGUUAAAGCUGAAAGGAGUGGAGACAGAGAAAUCACGUGUCAGUCUGGGGUGCUGAGGCUAGUGCUAAAGAUGUUUCACCUGUGUCACUGGCACAGGGUCUAAGAGCUCAAGGUUUGAACUUGGAGGAUCCUGUUGAUCCAACGGCUUUCCCGCCAGGCCCAGGUUGGAUAGCCUGUAUUCUAAUCCGGACCCAGCCCUGGGUCAGCUCCCAUACCAGGUAAACAACUUCCAACACCUUCCUGCCCAACGUGCCACACCCAUCCCACUCGGUCAUGUUUUCUCUGCUGCGCUCCCAACUCUGCCCAAGGCAAUUAGUCUGGAGGCCCCCAGACAAGCUGCUGCCAGCCGGGACCCAUCGGAACCGAUGGCCUUCAUCAAAAGCCCCACAGAAAUAGCACAGUCAAGAGGCCCCACCAGAAGCUGUCUGCGGAAGACAGCAAAAGCAAGAAACCCGGCCAGACACCAAGACCACCUGAACAAACACAACAGGCUCUACACAUGUGCCUCUCUGACCUCCACUGCUGCAGGUGAAUGGAUGUGUUUAGGAGGGCACAGAGAGGAGGAGCAAUGGGAAGAAAUGGAAACAAUCCAUUCACGGUAAACAGUGGCACUGCUUUGGCUCAGCUGAUCUGCUUUAACAAAUCUGCUGAAAAAUGUAACCACCUAGGAAUAGGAUUCUGUAGUCCACCGGAAAAAUGAGCAUUUUCUUCUCCUGCCCCUAUCUGAAUGACAUACGGGAGGAUUAGGACUGCAGAUGCUUGAGAAAGCAGCCAUAGGAAGAGGAGAAGAGCAAUGUCAAAGUGCUGGCACCAGCAAUUCCUAAGACAUCACAACCUACCCCAGGCACCACUGCUUACGGGUGGCAGACCAUGUCACCAGGCGCACGCAGGACACAGCCCCAUCCUCAAUCACACUCAGGCCUAAUCUACCACUACCUGUAAAGCCUUCACCCAGCCCCAGAGCCUGACCUCCUCCCUGACCCAUAUCUCCUGGGUUAAAUCUUUUGUUUCAGGGUGAUGGAGGGCUGCUGCUGGUUCAUGAAGACUAGCAAGGUGGCGGUGAAGGACAGCACUGACCACAUCCAAGACACUAGACGGGAUGCGUCCCUCCUCUUCAGAGGACACCAAAAUGUACUACUUUAUCUGGACCACCUUCAGCAAGAAAGCUGGGGUGGGGUUCCAAACAAGUCACUGUCUUCAUGAGAAAAAACACUCUGAAGCCCAAGCCAGGUGAAGACAAUGUUGAUUUCUAGCUCCAGUGGUGCAGUAUUCCCUGGGCUAUCACGCUGCAUUAAAAAAAGAAACUCAGAUUUCGGGUGAAGAGAACAAGGUUGCCUCAAGUUGCCAGUCCCAGCAAAAACAGGCAUUAACUUUUGGAUAGCCAAGGAGGAUGCCUCCCUCAGCAUCACAUAAUAUCAUUAAUUGACUCUUCCAAAAUGGCAGAAAGGGACCACUGAAAUUAAGUCAUCCAAUUUCCUGAAUGUACUUACGGGACUGAAAUCAGAGGAGAAGAUGUGUCUGACUUAGAAAAACUCAGUAAAGGCUUGUUGGUUAAAGUGGCACAAAGCAGAUUAUGAAUUCCAACUCGGGACAUGGCUUUGUCUAUUUCUAGGCAACAGGCUUGCUCCAAGCGUUAGGCUGGAGCUGUAGGCAGAGCCCAAUGACCAGUGGGGCAGAGAAGGAAGUGCCUAUUGAUCUCCCCAUCCCUCUGGCAUCAGGCUGCCAGAGAAGAACUGACUUCCUCUACCUUGAACUGACAGUGCACAAGAGAGCUUCAAUUUUAAGAAACAUGUACUGAACUUCUGCUAUUUACCAGGCUCUGCACUAGCCAUGUGAGAUAAAGUAGCUCAAUACAUUCUCACAAUAAUUCCGUGGCUUUGGUUUUCUUAUCUGUAAGAUCAGAACCAAAGAGGCCACUUCAUCCCCCUGAGGCUGAGUCACGUACUCCUGGAGUCGGACUGACGAGGUAUGGACUGUGGCUGACACACAUCUGCCGUGUGAUAUCGGGCCUAUUAGUUGACUGCUUGGAACCGCAGCUUUCCACAACAGAUGGAUGUAGGGUUUAAAUGGAAGCUCAUAUGGAAAGAGCUUACCAUCGGGCCUGACGUAUUAAACACACGUUCUUUCUUUCUUUCCUAAUUCCAGAUGCAGUGCUCCUGGGAGCUGCGGUACAGUCAGACAGGGGUAACUGGGGCGGGCCUGGCUGCUUUGAAUGAUUAAGAGCUGAUCUGUCUUCCUACCUGGAGUCCACUCUAAGUGCUCAGAACCUGAGUAGCACUAAACAUAUACCUGUUGACUGACUGGCUCGUAUUGGGUGCUGUGGAAGGAGUACAUAGCACUGGGAGCCCGGCUCCUACCCUAGCUUGUUGAAUGGUCUUGACCUCUCUGGGCCUCAGUUUUCUCAUCUGUAAAACAAGGGGAAUAGAUCAGACAUUUUGAUUCUGAUAUUUUCACAUUAUUAUGAAAUGUUGGGCUUUCCCAAGCCCCUCUUCCAAGGUCCUGGGCUGCAAGUGAAGUUCAGUGCCCAGCCACUUUCCAUAGUCUCUUUCUUGGCUUAUGUCUAGCUGACUUUAACAUCAUUCUGUGACAUUACUUGCCAACACAUGUAAGCAACGACUUCUACAUCUUAAUGCUUUCUUUUCUUGUUCUUCUCUUUGGAUAAGAAACUGGGAUCUGGAAUGAGGUAGCCCUCACGUUCUGUAAAACACUGCUAAAAUUAUAAAACUUGGAUUUAAUUCAACCAGAAACCAGGGCUGCUCUGGGAAGCAGCAGAACCACUUCCACCCCGGGAAGAGGGCCAUGUUUUGAAGGAUCCUGGAGGUGAAAGUCCAAUUUAGGGAAGACAGCUGGAUUCAGAGAAGACGGGUGAGGGCAGAGGAGGAGGAACAAGAGAGGUACACAGAAAGAACUGCGGCACUCCCUACGAAGUGGAAAAAUAACUACCAAAUAUCGAGAUGGGAUCUGCAUUUCCCCACAAGGACUGAAUGGAAGGGUCUAUAAUGGAAACUGCUGUCUUGAAAAUACCCCAGGAUCUAGUACGCCAGAACCCUGAAGUUGACGCCUAUCACACACACCCUGGUGGUGGUACUGAACACCAGGCACGAGAAUGGUUUCAGGAGACUGUUCCAACCACAAGAUCCCCAUCCUUGAACAGGCAAGUCAAAGAGUCGUGUACACUCCAGCUCUAGGGAGACUCAGUGGAAGGGACCUGAGGUUUUAUUGCUGUUAGAGAACUUGAAAAGGGAAGCUUCCUAUCAGGCCAGCACUCAGAGGUUUUGUGUGAUAGCCAUAGAAGCAGCGCUAAUUGGGCGGCUAUUUAAUACUGGGAGAAUCACCAAGAGCAGAACCCACCUGUGUUGGAUGGAGUAAAGCCUGGCAAGGAGGGGCUGUUGAGGCCGGGGAGCAACACGGGAGGAAUGCCCUGGAUUGCCGGAUAUGCCGUAGGAAGGUUGAGAGCCUGAAGAGGGGCGUUGUCAAACAUCCCUUGCUGCUGAGCUGCCAGUCCGAGGACCUCAUUGGCCUUUUUAAUCCGGUCCAACUCUUGUUGAGCCAUCAACUGACGUACAGUGGCUGGGUCAAAGUAUUCUUUCUCCUUGUCCAGCUGGCUUCCAAUGGUGUCUUUAACUUUGGAGAUAUGCUGUUGGGAAAAGAUAUGGUCACGUACAGACAGCCGAGCGCUGUACUUGAUGCCACACAAAGUGCACUCUGUUUUGGGUCCCUCGUAACUUGUUUGGUUUAUACCAAAAUGCUUGGCCAUGCUUAACUUGGACUUCUUUUCUUUUGCCCGGGCAUUCUGGAACCAGACCUGAACCACUCUCUUUGGCAGUCCAAUGUCAUUGCCCAGGACUUCACACUCUAGCAUGGUGGGUGUCCUGUAGUCAUUAAAGCAUGACUUGAGGACCUUCAGCUGCAGAUUGGUCAUCUGAGUGCGAAAACGUUUCUGCCCGGGCCUAUCCCCACUGUCUCCAGAUUUGCCUGCUGACCCACUUGCACCAGGGCUUGGGGAGCAGGGGUCUGCAAGGCUCGAGGUUUCACUGUAGUCCACUGUACCUUCAUUGUCAUAUUCCUUGCUGUAAAAGCUCGGGGCUGGGCUGACCAGACCGGAUGACAACCGAUCUUCAUACUCGGACAUUGCCAUCAUGGCCGCUUUGGUCAACCCUUCACUGGGCGCGGAAGAGGAUUUGGUUUCAGUUGCUAUUCCCGUCGCACUGUCGUUAUCCGCAUUGCCCUCGUCUCCAGUAGUGGUAUCUGUGAUCGCUGUGUUGACUGAGGAACAGUCGUCGUUGUCCAGCUUAGUUUGGUCAAAGUUUAGAUUAACUGAAGACAUGGAAGGGCUUUCAAAGUCUUCAAUCCCUUCCACCUUGAUGGAAGAAGGGCUAAGAAGAGUUCUAGGAGACAACUCCAUGGUUUUGCUCACAGGGCUGGCACUGGCCUUUUCCUCCAGCUUCCUCUUGAGAGUGUUCAUCGUGGAGGUGGGAGUUGAAGGGGAAGUGGCCGAGCUUGCCGGAAUCUGAGGUGGCUCGUCUCGAGGUGUUUUUUCAGAGCCUGGAAAGUUCGGAAACUGCGCUGACAGAGACAGCACAUGGUGGCAGCUCUGAUCACGUGGUACUGAGAGUGGAGCUGCAGCUUUUCCACGGUCUUGAAAGCUAGGCUGCACUGGUUGCAGCGGUACUUGUACACGUGGCGAUCCGACACGGGCAGCUGAGGCCUCUUGGCGUGAACCUCGUUGAAGUGCGUCUGGAGAGUGGCGGAAGUUUUGAAAACCUGGUUGCACCCCUUCUUCCAGCACAGGAAGCCUGAAUCUUCUCUCACAGAGCCUGGGUCAGCGGGAGAGGGUUUCACAUCUCCACUGUGUUCUGUGCUGGCAGAGGGCAAGAUGUUCUUUCCCAGAUCAUCUGAGGUUUCUGAAAAAAAAAAAAAAAAAAAAAAAAGCCCAAUGAUAAAGAAGGCUUAGAGCUGUCUACCCAGCAAGGCCUCAUGAACAGAGUCUCAUGAUGAGGGAAAUAAAUACCCAACCUGCAGACACACACUCUCCACAGAGCCCCACACCGCUGAGAUCACGUGUUAUAUAAGCAGGUGCACAGGAAUAGAGAGGAAGAAAAGGAGAUAACAAAAAGUCUCAACUGCUAGUAGGCCUAUACCAUAGCACAAAUCUGCCUUUUAAACAAUAUUUGUUUGUUUCAAUUUCUCAAGAACUGGCUUGAAGGGAUACCCCCUUUACAUGGAUCUGAAUUAUAGAAUAUGUGAAUUCAUGCUGUCCUAAGCUGUGGGGAAUUUGCAAGAAUUGCUAUCCACUGUAAUAUAAGAAAUUUUGGGAUAUAUAUAUUUUUAGGCAUUAAAUUUCUUGUUAUAAUGUGA
Molecule: long non-coding RNA, 6419 nt
Organism: Lagenorhynchus albirostris (white-beaked dolphin)
Lineage: Eukaryota; Metazoa; Chordata; Mammalia; Artiodactyla; Delphinidae
Exons: 5
Source: RefSeq, a predicted model, not a curated record